AAGAGACCAUUCUGUACUUCACUUUUAUAAAAGUACAAAAGAAAAUUUAUACAUACUGUAGGAUGAUAUUUUUAGAGUGUCAAUAACAACUCGUAUAAAAAACACAUAAUAUUUAACAUUGCACGGGGAAAGAGGGAAGAUCAAGAUCUUGAUUCAUACAAUUAAUCCAACAAAAUUAGCUGUACAUAUUAUUAACACUAGAAAACAAAAGGACUAGUAAUACAGAUCGAUGACCACAUCACCGCAUCUGCAUGGAUCGUCUAAUUAAACACUAAUUAACAAAGGUUAAUUGGGAGUUGAAUUUCCAGAUAUUUAUUAGUAGGUAAUUAGGAAUAGUACUUAAGACUCAUCGUCUCUCAUGUAUUAGGACCCCAACAACUCAAGUACAUUACAGUCCGGAGAGAUUCCUCAGCCUGCUGUUUAAGCCUGCACUGAUGAUCACAGCUGCUGGUACUAUUCUUGUUGUUUACAGCACCAGAAAAUUCUGUGGCCAAUUCCUUGCGACAUGCCUUGCCUUUAGACGCUUGGUCUCUAUUAGUGCUUCCUCUUCCUUGCAUUGCUUCUGAUAUUUGAAUCAUUUCAAAUGAAAGUAGUGUUUUAGUCGUUUGGGUGUGGCUUAGAACUUGGGAAACCAAGUUUCAUAUAUAGGCAGAGAAAAGGUCAUUAGCAUAUAAUAGCUGCAAAAUUU
Molecule: long non-coding RNA, 688 nt
Filed under: Malus domestica (apple)
Lineage: Eukaryota; Viridiplantae; Streptophyta; Magnoliopsida; Rosales; Rosaceae
Description: long non-coding RNA (MDOM_LNC017251)
Source: RNAcentral